This 496-nucleotide ribosomal RNA is filed under the name uncultured Cladosporium. RNAcentral describes it as "eukaryotic LSU rRNA". The stretch from base 160 to 313 matches the Rfam family "5.8S ribosomal RNA". The record is from RNAcentral. Lineage: Eukaryota; Fungi; Ascomycota; Dothideomycetes; Cladosporiales; Cladosporiaceae.
UUACAAGUGACCCCGGUCUAACCACCGGGAUGUUCAUAACCCUUUGUUGUCCGACUCUGUUGCCUCCGGGGCGACCCUGCCUUCGGGCGGGGGCUCCGGGUGGACACUUCAAACUCUUGCGUAACUUUGCAGUCUGAGUAAACUUAAUUAAUAAAUUAAAACUUUUAACAACGGAUCUCUUGGUUCUGGCAUCGAUGAAGAACGCAGCGAAAUGCGAUAAGUAAUGUGAAUUGCAGAAUUCAGUGAAUCAUCGAAUCUUUGAACGCACAUUGCGCCCCCUGGUAUUCCGGGGGGCAUGCCUGUUCGAGCGUCAUUUCACCACUCAAGCCUCGCUUGGUAUUGGGCAACGCGGUCCGCCGCGUGCCUCAAAUCGACCGGCUGGGUCUUCUGUCCCCUAAGCGUUGUGGAAACUAUUCGCUAAAGGGUGUUCGGGAGGCUACGCCGUAAAACAACCCCAUUUCUAAGGUUGACCUCGGAUCAGGUAGGGAUACCCGCU